GAUGAACGCUGGCGGCGUGCCUAAUACAUGCAAGUCGAGCGAACGGACGAGAAGCUUGCUUCUCUGAUGUUAGCGGCGGACGGGUGAGUAACACGUGGAUAACCUACCUAUAAGACUGGGAUAACUUCGGGAAACCGGAGCUAAUACCGGAUAAUAUUUUGAACCGCAUGGUUCAAAAGUGAAAGACGGUCUUGCUGUCACUUAUAGAUGGAUCCGCGCUGCAUUAGCUAGUUGGUAAGGUAACGGCUUACCAAGGCAACGAUGCAUAGCCGACCUGAGAGGGUGAUCGGCCACACUGGAACUGAGACACGGUCCAGACUCCUACGGGAGGCAGCAGUAGGGAAUCUUCCGCAAUGGGCGAAAGCCUAACGGAGCAACGCCGCGUGAGUGAUGAAGGUCUUCGGAUCGUAAAACUCUGUUAUUAGGGAAGAACAUAUGUGUAAGUAACUGUGCACAUCUUGACGGUACCUAAUCAGAAAGCCACGGCCAACUACGUG
RNAcentral lists this ribosomal RNA (497 nucleotides) under uncultured bacterium. Its description in RNAcentral is "partial 16S ribosomal RNA". It matches the Rfam family "Bacterial small subunit ribosomal RNA", at positions 28 to 507 of the family's 1533-position model. The record is from RNAcentral.